This 914-nucleotide ribosomal RNA is filed under the name Nostoc flagelliforme MUB-Algas 5179. Its description in RNAcentral is "bacterial SSU rRNA". It matches the Rfam family "Bacterial small subunit ribosomal RNA", at positions 413 to 1342 of the family's 1533-position model. The record is from RNAcentral. Lineage: Bacteria; Bacillati; Cyanobacteriota; Cyanophyceae; Nostocales; Nostocaceae.
GGCUCUUGGGUCGUAAACCUCUUUUCUCAGGGAAGAAUCAAAUGACGGUACCUGAGGAAUAAGCAUCGGCUAACUCCGUGCCAGCAGCCGCGGUAAUACGGAGGAUGCAAGCGUUAUCCGGAAUGAUUGGGCGUAAAGCGUCCGCAGGUGGCAAUGUAAGUCUGCUGUUAAAGAGUGAGGCUCAACCUCAUAAGAGCAGUGGAAACUACAUAGCUAGAGUACGUUCGGGGCAGAGGGAAUUCCUGGUGUAGCGGUGAAAUGCGUAGAGAUCAGGAAGAACACCGGUGGCGAAGGCGCUCUGCUAGGCCGUAACUGACACUGAGGGACGAAAGCUAGGGGAGCGAAUGGGAUUAGAUACCCCAGUAGUCCUAGCCGUAAACGAUGGAUACUAGGCGUGGCUUGUAUCGACCCGAGCCGUGCCGUAGCUAACGCGUUAAGUAUCCCGCCUGGGGAGUACGCCGGCAACGGUGAAACUCAAAGGAAUUGACGGGGGCCCGCACAAGCGGUGGAGUAUGUGGUUUAAUUCGAUGCAACGCGAAGAACCUUACCAAGGCUUGACAUGUCGCGAAUCUUAAUGAAAGUUGAGAGUGCCUUCGGGAGCGCGAACACAGGUGGUGCAUGGCUGUCGUCAGCUCGUGUCGUGAGAUGUUGGGUUAAGUCCCGCAACGAGCGCAACCCUCGUUUUUAGUUGCCAGCAUUAAGUUGGGCACUCUAGAGAGACUGCCGGUGACAAACCGGAGGAAGGUGGGGAUGACGUCAAGUCAGCAUGCCCCUUACGCCUUGGGCUACACACGUACUACAAUGCUCCGGACAGAGGGCAGCAAGAUAGCGAUGUCAAGCAAAUCCCGGAAACCGGAGCUCAGUUCAGAUCGCAGGCUGCAACUCGCCUGCGUGAAGGAGGAAUCGCUAGUAAU